CUUUAUAUUUUUUGUAUAUUUAAUUAUUAAUUAAAUGUUUAAGUAUAUUCAGUAUGUAUAAAUUUAAAUAUAAAUAUAUAAUAAUAUGUAUUAUAAAGCGGUAUUUGUGAUUGAUUGCUGAACAUAAAGCUCUGCAAUAAUUAUAUGACAAGUCAAUAGCUUUAGUUGAUUCAGAAUCACUGUCUGUCAAAUAUAAAGUCUUUUGAAGAAGAAAUUCUCUUGGCGACAUUGUCCAAAAUAGACUCCUGUUAACUUAAUAACAUACUCAGUGCACAAAUAUCUGAAAAUGUCAGAAGCUGCUGAUGAUCCGAUAAUUAAAAUUGAACCACAAGAAUAUCCAAUCGAAG
Ctenocephalides felis (cat flea) is the source of this 347-nucleotide long non-coding RNA. RefSeq lists it as uncharacterized. The transcript is spliced from 3 exons. Lineage: Eukaryota; Metazoa; Arthropoda; Insecta; Siphonaptera; Pulicidae. The record is from RefSeq and is a predicted model, not a curated record.